Molecule: ribosomal RNA, 253 nt
Filed under: uncultured bacterium
Lineage: Bacteria
Description: partial 16S ribosomal RNA
Rfam family: Bacterial small subunit ribosomal RNA
Source: RNAcentral
UACGAGGGGGGCUAGCGUUGCUCGGAAUCACUGGGCGUAAAGGGUGCGUAGGCGGGUCUUUAAGUCAGGGGUGAAAUCCUGGAGCUCAACUCCAGAACUGCCUUUGAUACUGAAGAUCUUGAGUUCGGGAGAGGUGAGUGGAACUGCGAGUGUAGAGGUGAAAUUCGUAGAUAUUCGCAAGAACACCAGUGGCGAAGGCGGCUCACUGGCCCGAUACUGACGCUGAGGCACGAAAGCUAGGGGAGCAAACGGG